RNAcentral lists this ribosomal RNA (759 nucleotides) under uncultured bacterium. Its description in RNAcentral is "bacterial SSU rRNA". It matches the Rfam family "Bacterial small subunit ribosomal RNA", at positions 126 to 902 of the family's 1533-position model. The record is from RNAcentral.
UUGCCUCACAGAUAGGGACAACAUUUGGAAACGAAUGCUAAUACCUGAUAUUAUGAUUUUAGGGCAUCCUAGAAUUAUGAAAGCUAUAUGCGCUGUGAGAGAGCUUUGCGUCCCAUUAGCUAGUUGGAGAGGUAACGGCUCACCAAGGCGAUGAUGGGUAGCCGGCCUGAGAGGGUGAACGGCCACAAGGGGACUGAGACACGGCCCUUACUCCUACGGGAGGCAGCAGUGGGGAAUAUUGGACAAUGGACCAAGAGUCUGAUCCAGCAAUUCUGUGUGCACGAUGAAGUUUUUCGGAAUGUAAAGUGCUUUCAGUUGGGAAGAAAAAAAUGACGGUACCAACAGAAGAAGUGACGGCUAAAUACGUGCCAGCAGCCGCGGUAAUACGUAUGUCACAAGCGUUAUCCGGAUUUAUUGGGCGUAAAGCGCGUCUAGGUGGUUAUGUAAGUCUGAUGUGAAAAUGCAGGGCUCAACUCUGUAUUGCGUUGGAAACUGUGUAACUAGAGUACUGGAGAGGUAAGCGGAACUACAAGUGUAGAGGUGAAAUUCGUAGAUAUUUGUAGGAAUGCCGAUGGGGAAGCCAGCUUACUGGACAGAUACUGACGCUAAAGCGCGAAAGCGUGGGUAGCAAACAGGAUUAGAUACCCUGGUAGUCCACGCCGUAAACGAUGAUUACUAGGUGUUGGGGGUCGAACCUCAGCGCCCAAGCAAACGCGAUAAGUAAUCCGCCUGGGGAGUACGUACGCAAGUAUGAAACUC